This 492-nucleotide ribosomal RNA is filed under the name uncultured bacterium. RNAcentral describes it as "partial 16S ribosomal RNA". It matches the Rfam family "Bacterial small subunit ribosomal RNA", at positions 28 to 507 of the family's 1533-position model. The record is from RNAcentral.
GAUGAACGCUAGCUACAGGCUUAACACAUGCAAGUCGAGGGGAAACGGCAUCGAAAGCUUGCUUUUGAUGGGCGUCGACCGGCGCACGGGUGAGUAACGCGUAUCCCACCUGCCCAUCACUUGGGUAUAACCUUGCGAAAGUAAGACUAAUGCCCAAUGACAUCCCACGAAGGCAUCCGAAUGGGAUUAAAGAUUUAUCGGUGAUGGAUGGGGAUGCGUCUGAUUAGCUUGUUGGCGAGGUGACGGCCCACCAAGGCAACGAUCAGUAGGGGUUCUGAGAGGAAGGUCCCCCACAAUGGAAAUGAGACACGGACCAAAAUCCGACGGAAGGCAGCGGUGAGGAAUACUGGUGAAUGGGCGAUAGCCUGAACCAGCCAAGUGGCGUGCAGGAGGACGGCCCUAUGGGUUGUAAACUGCUUUUAUAAGGGAAAAAAGUGGGUCACGUGUGACUUUUUGCAGGUACCUUAUGAAUAAGGACCGGCUAAUUCCGUG